Molecule: ribosomal RNA, 450 nt
Filed under: uncultured bacterium
Lineage: Bacteria
Description: partial 16S ribosomal RNA
Rfam family: Bacterial small subunit ribosomal RNA
Source: RNAcentral
CCUACGGGGGGCUGCAGUGGGGAAUAUUGCGCAAUGGGCGAAAGCCUGACGCAGCGACGCCGCGUGGGUGAUGAAGGCCUUCGGGUUGUAAAGCCCUGUCGGGUGGAACGAACGAUCUGGCGGCGAAUAACCGCCGGGUGUGACGGUACCCGGAGAGGAAGCCCCGGCUAACUCUGUGCCAGCAGCCGCGGUAAUACAGAGGGGGCAAGCGUUAUUCGGGAGUAUUGGGGGGAAUGGUUACGUCGGCGGUGUAAUCCCCGAGCUCAACUUGGGAACUGCAUCUGAGACUGGAAGGCUAGAGUACUGGAGAGGGUGGUGGAAUUCCUCGUGUAGCGGUGAAAUGCGUAGAGAUGAGGAGGAACACCAGUGGCGAAGGCGGCCACCUGGACAGUAACUGACGCUGAGGCGCGAAAGUGUGGGUAGCAAACAGGAUUAGAUACCCUAGUAGUC